This 253-nucleotide ribosomal RNA is filed under the name uncultured bacterium. RNAcentral describes it as "partial 16S ribosomal RNA". It matches the Rfam family "Bacterial small subunit ribosomal RNA", at positions 524 to 776 of the family's 1533-position model. The record is from RNAcentral.
UACAGAGGGGGCAAGCGUUGUUCGGAAUUACUGGGCGUAAAGGGCGCGUAGGCGGCCUGUUAAGUCGGACGUGAAAUCCCCGGGCUCAACCCGGGAACUGCGUCCGAUACUGGCAGGCUUGAAUCCGGGAGAGGGAUGUGGAAUUCCAGGUGUAGCGGUGAAAUGCGUAGAUAUCUGGAGGAACACCGGUGGCGAAGGCGGCGUUCUGGACUGCAACUGACACUGAGGAACGAAAGCCAGGGGAGCAAACGGG